AACGAACGCUGGCGGCAUGCCUAACACAUGCAAGUCGAACGAGACCUUCGGGUCUAGUGGCGCACGGGUGCGUAACGCGUGGGAACCUGCCUUUAGGUUCGGAAUAACUCAGAGAAAUUUGAGCUAAUACCGGAUGAUGUCUUCGGACCAAAGAUUUAUCGCCUUUAGAUGGGCCCGCGUUGGAUUAGCUAGUUGGUGGGGUAAAGGCCUACCAAGGCGACGAUCCAUAGCUGGUCUGAGAGGAUGAUCAGCCACACUGGGACUGAGACACGGCCCAGACUCCUACGGGAGGCAGCAGUGGGGAAUAGUGGACAAUGGGCGAAAGCCUGAUCCAGCAAUGCCGCGUGAGUGAUGAAGGCCUUAGGGUUGUAAAGCUCUUUUAACCGAGAUGAUAAUGACAGUAUCGGGAGAAUAAGCUCCGGCUAACUCCGUG
This 433-nucleotide ribosomal RNA is filed under the name uncultured bacterium. RNAcentral's name for it is "partial 16S ribosomal RNA". It matches the Rfam family "Bacterial small subunit ribosomal RNA", at positions 29 to 507 of the family's 1533-position model. The record is from RNAcentral.